Molecule: long non-coding RNA, 1896 nt
Filed under: Arabidopsis thaliana (thale cress)
Lineage: Eukaryota; Viridiplantae; Streptophyta; Magnoliopsida; Brassicales; Brassicaceae
Description: potential natural antisense gene, locus overlaps with AT1G25097 (AT1G25098)
Source: RNAcentral
CAAAAGCCAAAUCUUCGAAACCUUAUGAGAUGUGAUAGGGUUACAAGGGUAAAACAGGAACUCAGAAUAAAAAUAAGUUAAUCGAGAAAGCUCCAAAUAAACACCACUCGUCCGCCUCUCUGUCUCUCACCAAAAUAAAAAACUCAAUCUCUCUCUCUCUCUCUCCAUCGAGAAACACUAAACUGCUAUAAUCAUUACCUCUCUUCGAUUUCUCAAACCCUAUCUGGCUCUCUACCCAUAUGCUUCAGAUCCGCAUUAAAAAAGCUAAGUUUUUUGUUAUGUCCUUCUUUCUUAUUUGAUCAGUUUGUUCUUGUUUCACGAUUUUAACCUGAGAUUUUUUAUAUAUUUUCUCCAGAUCUGCUAUCCGCAGUCAUCUGUUCAUAGGAAAAGAUCUGGCUUUACUUUUAGAGAUUAUCUCAGAUCCAGCCUUUUACCCAAUUGAAGGCAAGUUCACAUACUCUGUUUUUUUUGUCUUGGUUUUAAUUUCUCGGUUUUUUACAUGUAACAGAUGUUUUAAGCAUGAUUUUUUGUUUAAACAGUUUGUUUUUCCUACCCUUAAAACUUCUCUGAAUUAAUAUCCCAUUUAUAUGACCACUCUAAUGUCUUCUUAUACGACUACGCAAGUGUUGCAUAUUCUUGACCUUUUCACACUUCAUUUGCAUUUUAGUCUAACAAUAUAAAUCCGCAAAUAUCUUGUGUUUAUACUUAUUGAAAUUAGUCUUCCGACAUAUAUAAUCUAGGAUCUAUUUGGAUUAUUUGGGCCAUCAGUCUCAUUCGUUUCAUUAACAUCUGAGUCUUUGAACUUUGUUUAUCUUUCCUAGCUUGAUAUUUUAAUAUUAGUUUUUUUGCGCCUCUUUGUUUUUGAUCAUUUAUUCUCUCAAUUGGAUAGUAUAGUGAAGUAAAUAAUGUAGCUAUGACUUUACCUGUAGCAUUUACCUGUAGCAUCUUAAAAAUAUGAAUUAAAAAUGAUUUAGCUAAUUUGGGCUUAUGUUUAUAAGCAUAGAAGUUUAUACUACAAGUUCGUUUAGAUUUUUCCAGUAUCAACUCAAACAUAGUUUUUACUCAAGCAUAGUUUUUACUCAAGCAUAGUUUUUACUCACACUAAAACCCACAUGUAGUGUGCAAAAGUAAGUACCCCCCCACCUCUGUUCCUCACGGUUUUUCUGCAAAGGACCCACCCUCCUUGAACUUCAGCGUCCAUCACAAUGUCCCCAUCAUCAUCAAACCUGUACAAGCCAGUGGCGAUCCUAACAUUGUAGAAGUUGAUAGCAUUUUUGCAAGUGGAGGGAGCACUUGUGUUUCUCCACGUAUUGCUGUCUUGAUUAAAGCGGUUGUCAACUCUGUAAAGUCCCUCUACUUCAAUAGGUAGGUCCAUAUGCUGAAGAUUUAUCGCAGGAGCGACCACUACGGGAGCCGCCAUUGGAGAUUCUCUGUGAGAGAGAGAGAGAGAAAUAGUUUGAGAAUCAAUCUUCUGUAUUUUAUUGUGUAGAUCAAGUUAUUUAGUAUAUGCUAGUACUUAUGGUUAAAAUAGACUAUUAUUAAAAUUCAAAAGUAAUAAAGCCAACGAGUACACUAAACUCAGAUUAUAUUUUCCAAAACUAUUGCUAAAGAAUAUCAAUACGUACACUAGAUAUAGAAAUCGGAAUUAGGUACGUUGUGAUCCAUUUCAGCUACUGUUAGGGGUAAGAUUUGGGCUUGCUUGGCCCAAGGCCCAAAUCCAAGUCAAAGGCCUAAGCAGAAUGUUAAGUCAAGAGGGUAGGCUCGUCAAAAUCCUGGAGGAGUGUCCUACACGCAGAAGGCUAUAAAUACGGAAUAGCAUGUCUUGUCAAAGGGGGAUUCCGCCGGACACGCAGAGACACAGAGCAGCUCGUCAGCUCACCCGUCCGAAGUAUCCCG